AUCCAUAUCCACCUGAUGGAAUAGAAAAUAGCGUGAGGUGUGUUCCCAGGAGGCUUUGCAUGGGUUAGACCUGGAGGGCAAACACAUCACGUCUGCUUAUGUUCCAUCUGGAAAAACAUUUGAGUUGCCACAGCAAAUUGCUAGUGAGAAUGAGAGAUGGAGUUCCCUGUGUCUCCAAGAAGGGGAUGACUUUGGCAGAGCAGCUCUUCUGUUCCCUGACUUCUCUUUCUCCUGCCAGAACCCAGCACCGAGAGGGACCAUCAGAGGAUGUUCCAUGAGAACUUGGUGAGGGUUGUGGAGAGGUUGGCUGGUGCUUCUCCGUCUUCAUACAGAUGUCCAGACAGGGGACCAGAAGUCUCAGGUCUGAGCUCUACCUGGAAGCCCCUCACGUCUGUAGCCAUCAAACCUCCAGAUAAGACGAGCCCUGAAGCAUUUUGGUUGCAUCAGAAAACAGAUGGAAGGCCAGUCUUCACAGAUGCAUAUACUUCAUCCUGGCUUCCACCCACAGAGGUUGCAUCUGUGCAGAAAUUCAUCCCAGAGCACCAGGCAGGUAGCCACUGUGUCUUUAUCUCCCUCCAGAGAAGCAACACGCUCCAGACUCUGAUGCACUGGAGGCAGGAGACAGCUGCAGGUGGUGGUGUGCUCUGGAAGAGUAGAAACAGAGACCCCUCAUAGAUACCCUGUCUUCAGAAUAGACCUAGGCUCUUCACCCCACCACCCCUGCCACCACCCCACCCAAGCCACUGCAGUGUCUUGCCCAGACAAGGGGCAUGGCCAACUAACUGAUCCCUCAGAUCUUGCCCUGGUCCCCCUAAGAUAACUCUUUAUAUGGCAGCUUUCUCCAUCUUAGCACUUUGGGAGGCCGAGACAGGUGGACUGCCUGAGCUCAGGAGUUCAAGACCAGCCUGGGCAACAUGGUGAAGUCCAGUCUGUAUUAAAACUAUAAAAAAUUAGCUGGGCAUGGUGGCGCACACCUCUAAUCCCAACUACUGUGGAGGCUGAGGCAUGAGAAUCACUUGAACCUGGGAGGCAGAGGAUGCAGUGAGCCGAGAUGGUGCCACUUCACUCCAGCCUGGACAACAGAGCAAGACUCUGUCUAAAACAACAACAACAAAAACAAACAAAAGAAGGAAGAAAGAAGGGAGGGAAGGAGGGAAAGAGAAAGGAAAGAAGGAAGGAAAGAGAAAGAGAAAACACUAUAACAGAGAUGAUGAAGGCAUUUGAUGGGACCAUCAGUAGACUGGACAUAGAUGAGGAAAAAAUCAGCCUGAAGAUAUGUUAAUAGAACCUUCCCAAACUGUAAUGCAAAGAAAAAAAUGGGGAAAAAACAGAUUAUACAAGAACUGUGGGAUAUUUUCAAAAGGUAUAAUAUAUGCACAAUUGAAACACCACAAGGAGAAGAAAGGGAGAACAGAGCAGAAGAAUCGUGAAAGUUAUAAUGGCUCCCAGUUUUCCAAAAGUAAAGGCAGACCCCAAGCCACAGAUCCAGUAAGCUUAGAGAACACCAAAUAGGAUACAUACUUAAAAAAAAAAAUCAACACCUACAUAUAUCAUAUUCAAACUGUAGAAAACCAAAGACAAACACAAAAUCUUGAAAGAAGCCAUAGAAAAAAACCCAGCUUACUUAUACAGGAAACAAAUAAGAAUUACAGCCUUCUUGUCAGACACCACGCAAGCAAGAAGAGAAAAGGGUGAAAUAUGUAAAGUGUUGAAAGAGAAAACUGGCCGGGCACAGUGGCUCACGCCGGUAAUCCCAGCACUUUGGAAGGCCGAGGUGGGUGGAUCACGAGGUCAGGAUUUCAAGACCAUCCUGGCUAACACGGUGAAACCCCGUCUCUACUAAAAAUACAAAAAAAUUAGCCAGGCGUGGUGGCAGACGCCUGUAGUCCCAGCUACUCGGGAGGCUGAGGCAGGAGAAUGGCGUGAACCCGGGAGGUGGAGCUUGCAGUGAGCCGAGAUCGCGCCAUUGCACUCCAGCUAGGGCGACAGAGCAAGACUCUGCCUCAAAAAAAAAAAAAAAAAAAGAAAACCCCAUCAACCUAGAUUUCUAUAUCCAGCAAAAGUAUCCUUCAAAAGUGAAGAAAACAUUGUGUAUGUAAAGGCUACAGAAUGGUGGAUUUUAUGAUGGUUUAAAAAUGGUGACAUCCAUGUUAUAGAAAUUUUUUGCUCUCACUAAAAGAAUGAAAGAGAAACAAAAACUUUUUGAGGGCCAGGCACGGUGGCUCACACCUGUAAUCGCAGCACUUUGAGAGGCCAAGGCAGGAAGAUCGCUUGAGCCCAGGAGUUUGAGACAAGCCUGAGUGACAUAGUGAGACCCCAACUUUACAAAACAAUUAAAAAUUAGCUGAGUGUGGUGGCACGGUCCUGUAGUCCCAGCUACUUGGGAGGCUGAAGUGGGAUCCUUUGAGCCUGAGAGGUCGAGGCUGCAGUGAACCGUGUUUGGCCACUGCACUGCAGCCUGGGUGACAGUCAAGACCCUGUUUCAAAACAAAACAAAACAAAAAAAACUUUCUCAGACAAGCAAAAAAAUGAGAGUUAUUGCCAGCCAAUCUGCCCUACAAAACAUGUUAAAAGCAGCUCUUAAGGGAGAAGGGAAGAGAUAUAGGUUAGAAACUCAGAUCCACAUAAAGGAACUGUCAGGAAAGGAAUACAUGAAGACAAUAGAAAAUCUUUUACAUUUCCUAUUCUUAGUUGAUCUAGUAGGUAACUGCCUGGCUAAAGUAAUAAUAGUAACAUUGUGUUGGGGUCCAUAGUAAAGGAUAGGUGAAAUCAAGAAUAGCACUCUUACAAGGGUGAGGAGAGAGGAACUGGGAAUACUCUGCUAGAAGACACCUGCACUGCCCAUGAAGUGGUAAAGUGCAAUUUGAAAGUGGAUGUUGAUUAGUUGCAAAUCUAUAUUGCGAACUCUAGGACAAUGAAUUAAAAUAUUUUGAAAGAAGUAUAAUUAUAAUGCUAGAAAGUAAAAAGAGUGGAAUCAUGUAAAAUUCUCAGUUAAACCAGAAAAGACAGAAAAAGAAGGGAAGGUAAGAAAAACAAGGACAAGUGCACCUGCUAGAAAACAGCGGCAGACAUGGUAGAUAUUAAUCCAACUAUCUCAAUAAUCACUUUAAAUGUGAAUGGCGCUAAAUAUACCAACUAAAACACAAAGACUGCCAGUAGAUUAAAAAAAAAAGACCCAAUGAUAUGUUGUCUGUAAAAAAACCCAUUUUAAAUAUAAAGACACAAAUAGCAUAAAAAUAAAGGUAUAAAGAAAGAUAUACCAUGUUAGUACUAAUCAAAAGAAAACUGGAGUAGCAGUAUUGAUAUCAGAUAAGGCAAACUUCAGAGGGAGAAAAAUGAUCAGGGAUAAAGAGGGGCAUUAUAUAAUAAGAGGGUCAAUACUCCAAGAAGACAUUGUUAAAUCCUUAAUGUGUAUGCACCUAACAACAGAGCAUCAACGUAUGUGAAGCAAAAACUAAUAGAACUGCAAGAGAAAUAGACAAGUCCACUAUUAUAGUUGGAGACUUCAACACUCUUCUAUCAGUAAUUGACACAUUUAGCAGGCAAAAAAAUCAGUAAGGAUAUAGCUGAACUGGACAAUACUGUCAAGCCACUGAAUCUAAUUGACAUUUACAGUAUACUUCAUUCAACAGAGUACAUAUUCUUCUCAAGCUCACAGGAAACAUCCACCAAGAUAGACUACAUACUUGGCCUUAAGAUACAUCUUACAAAUUUCAAAGAAUACAAACCAUAUAAAGUGUGCUCUCAGAGGAAAUUAAACAAAAUCAAAAACAGAAACGUAGAUGGGAAAUCUCAAAAUAACUGGAGAUUAAACAAAACACUUCUAGAUACCAGAUGGGUCAAAGAAGAAGUCUGAACAGAAAUUUUAAAAUAUUUUGAACUAAAUAAAAAUGAAAAUACAAUGUAUCAAAAUUUAUAGGAAGCAGUGAAAGUAGUGCUUGGAGAUAAAUUAUAAUAUUGAAUGCCUAUAUUAGAAGAUAUUAAAAAGAUUUAAAAUUCAUAAUCUAAGUUUCCAUCUUAGGAAACUAGAGAAGAAAGAUCAGUGUAAGCCUAAAGCAAGCAAAGGGAUAGAAAUAAAAAUUAUAGUAGAAAUCAAUAAAAUAGAAAACAAGAAACCAAUAGAAAAAUUCAAUGAAGUAAAAAUGUGCUAAUUUGUGCAGCAGCAAUAGAAAAAAGAAAUAAAAACAGUACUUUCACAGGUCAGUAAAAUGUAUAAACCUCUAGCUAAGCUAACUAAGAAAAAAAAAAACAGAUUGCUGAUAACAGAAAUGAGAAAGGGGUCAUCACUACUGAUCCCAAGGACAUUAAAAAGAUAACAAAAGAAUAUUAUGAGCAACUCUGUACCCACAGAUUUGAUAGCUUAGGUGAAACAGAUCAAUUUCUUGAAAGACACAAACAACCAAAACUCACACAGGGAAAAGAGAUGAUCUGAAUAGGCCUAUAUCUAUUAUGGAAAUUGAUAAAUUAUGGAAGUCAAUAAACAACCUUGCAAACAAGAAAGCACCAGACCCAGUGGUUUUGUUGUCAAAUCUAGCAAACAUUAUGGAAGAAAUGGUACCAAUUCUCUACAUUCUCUUCCCAAAAAAUAGAAGUGAAGGGAAUACUUCCUAACUCAUUUCAUGAAGUUAGCAUUUCUUGUAUCAAAAUCAGAUAAAAACGUUGGAAGAAAGGAAAACUACAGACCAAUACCUCUCAUGAACAUAGAUCAGCGGUCUCCAACCUUUUUGGCAACAGGUACCAGUUUUAUGGAAGAUAAUUUUUCCAUGGGACAUGGUGGGUGGGGCAGGUGGUUUCGGGAUGAAACUGUUGCACCUCAGAUCAUCAGGCAUUAGUUAGAUUCUCAUAAGGAGCUUGCAACCUAGAUCCCUCAUAUGUGCUGUUCACAAUAGGGUUCACACUCCUGAGAAUCUAAUGCUGUCGCUGAUCUGACUAGAGGCAGAGCUCAGGUGGCAAUCCUGGCUCACCUGCCACUCACCUCCUGCUAUGUGGCCUGAUACUGUUACUAGUCCCAGGCCUGAGGGUUAGGGAUCCCUGAUAUAAAUGCAACUAUUAGCAAAAUAUUAGCAAAUUGAAUUUAUGAAUAAAUGUGAAUCUGUGAAUACACCACAAUUUAACAGGAUUUAUUUCAUAUGUGCAAAACAGGUUUAACAUUUUAAAAACCAACAUAGGCCAGGUGUGGUGGCUCACGCUUGUAAUUUUAACACUUUGGGGGGCCAAGAUGGGCAGAUUACCUGAGGUGAGGAGUUCGAGACCAGCCUGGCCAAUAAGGCGAAACCCUGUCUCUACUAAAAAUACAAAAAUUAGCUGGGCUUGGCGGUGCAUGCCUGUAGUCCCAUAUACUCGGGAGGUUGAGGCAGAAGAAUCGCUUGAACCCGGGAGGCAGAGGUUGCAAUGAGCCGAGAUUGCACCACUGCACUCCAGCCUGGGCGACAGAGCGAGACUCCAUCUCAAAAAAAAAAAAAAAAAAAAUUACGGUGCCUAAUAGCUCCCUCAGCUACAAUCCACUGCUGUUACACUGGAGCCCCGUUGUUGUGGUGGUAUGAUUUAGGAAACGGGGAAGCACGUUUCUAAUUUUAUGAUUAAAUCUUGGUCUUUUAGUGCAUCCGUAUCCCUGGUGUCUUCACAGGUGUCUUAGCUUUGUCCCACCUCCUUAGGUGAGACAGGAAGGCUAGAGGCGGCUGGAGCUGGGUGACUGUCGUAGGGCCUCAGUAAGAC
This 5715-nucleotide long non-coding RNA is filed under the name Pan troglodytes (chimpanzee). Its description in RNAcentral is "long non-coding RNA NONPTRT014372". Lineage: Eukaryota; Metazoa; Chordata; Mammalia; Primates; Hominidae. The record is from RNAcentral.